UGUGCAGUUGCUUCGUUUGUCUAAAAUACAUCUUCUCACUCGUAUAUUAACACAAACACUAGAAAUUAAGAGUACAUAGAGAUGGCUAAACUCAACAAGACUACUUUUCUUGCUCUCUUCUUCUGCUUCCUCAUUUUUGCAGCCUAUGAGAUGCAAACGGGGGAGGCAAAAAAACCUUGCAGAAAACUUAGCAAAGAAUGGCAUGGGUUGUGUGCUCCUCAUAAAUGCAGUAGUUACUGUAUUCACCACGAGGGGGCUUACCAUGGUGCUUGUCUGAAAAAUCACCAGAAUAAGCAUUUUGGUUGCUACUGCUACUACCGUCAUUGCUAAUCAAUGAAACUUAUAUAUAGUAAUGUCGUCUGUUAUUACAUAGUUCUAUGUACUUGUUGGAGGUCACGCCUUGUGCCUGUCUGCAAGUUUGUACUGUGUUUAUGUUUCCAAUAAUAUUGCAAUCCUCGAGUGCUUUCGUUUUAAAAAAUAAAAGCUCCCUGUGUGAGCUCUUGCAGCAAGUUGUAUCUAUCAGUUCUUGUUACUUUGUUGUAUUUGUAUUACCUUAAUAAUGAAGAUUGUUAAGUUUCUUGUA
Molecule: long non-coding RNA, 583 nt
Organism: Olea europaea var. sylvestris
Lineage: Eukaryota; Viridiplantae; Streptophyta; Magnoliopsida; Lamiales; Oleaceae
Exons: 2
Source: RefSeq, a predicted model, not a curated record